This 378-nucleotide ribosomal RNA is filed under the name uncultured bacterium. Its description in RNAcentral is "bacterial SSU rRNA". It matches the Rfam family "Bacterial small subunit ribosomal RNA", at positions 30 to 410 of the family's 1533-position model. The record is from RNAcentral.
AUUGAACGCUGGCGGAAUGCUUUACACAUGCAAGUCGAACGGCAGCACGGGGCAACCUGGUGGCGAGUGGCGAACGGGUGAGUAAUACAUCGGAACGUGCCCAAUCGUGGGGGAUAACGUAGCGAAAGUUACGCUAAUACCGCAUACGAUCUACGGAUGAAAGCGGGGGAUCGCAAGACCUCGCGCGAAUGGAGCGGCCGAUGUCAGAUUAGGUAGUUGGUGGGGUAAAGGCUCACCAAGCCAACGAUCUGUAGCUGGUCUGAGAGGACGACCAGCCACACUGGAACUGAGACACGGUCCAGACUCCUACGGGAGGCAGCAGUGGGGAAUUUUGGACAAUGGGCGCAAGCCUGAUCCAGCAAUGCCGCGUGCAGGAUG